This 300-nucleotide long non-coding RNA is filed under the name Ananas comosus (pineapple). RNAcentral's name for it is "long non-coding RNA (ACOM_LNC015906)". The record is from RNAcentral. Lineage: Eukaryota; Viridiplantae; Streptophyta; Magnoliopsida; Poales; Bromeliaceae.
UAUUUAUUAUUGGGCCAAAAUAUGUCCAACUUUUUGAUUCGUGAUAAUAGGUUCAAGAGACUAGUAAAUUGAGUUGGGUUAGUCUAAUAAGUUGAGUGGGGUUACAGUCCAUAAGAGACCUAACGGCAAGAGAUAUAACAAUAGACUCAAUAUUCAGGUGGGUUGAAUCAAGUCGAAGUCUGUAAACGCUAUGUUUGAACUCUUAAGUGCGAUGGAUGCGCCCUUUCUAUCAGUACUUAUUUUUAGGAUAGUUGGUUAGCGCUUACGAUACACAAAUGAUAUUAGAGCCAAUGACGUGGA